This 254-nucleotide ribosomal RNA is filed under the name uncultured bacterium. Its description in RNAcentral is "partial 16S ribosomal RNA". It matches the Rfam family "Bacterial small subunit ribosomal RNA", at positions 524 to 776 of the family's 1533-position model. The record is from RNAcentral.
UACAGGGGGUGCAAACGUUGCUCGGAAUCAUUGGGCGUAAAGCGCACGUAGGCGGUUCGUUAUGUCGGAUGUGAAAGCCCUUGGCUUAACCGAGGAAGUGCAUCCGAAACUGGCGAGCUAGAGUACGAAAGAGGAUCGCGGAAUUCCCGGUGUAGAGGUGAAAUUCGUAGAUAUCAGGAGGAACACCGGUGGCGAAGGCGGUUCUCUGGGCAUUACCUGACGCUGAGGAGCGAAAGCAUGGGGGAGCGAACAGG